CUGCUGCCUCCCGUAGGAGUCUGGACCGUGUCUCAGUUCCAGUGUGGCUGGUCAUCCUCUCAGACCAGCUAGGGAUCGUCGCCUUGGUGAGCCGUUACCCCACCAACAAGCUAAUCCCAUCUGGGCACAUCCGAUGGCAAGAGGCCCGAAGGUCCCCCUCUUUGGUCUUGCGACGUUAUGCGGUAUUAGCUACCAUUUCCAGUAGUUAUCCCCCUCCAUCAGGCAGUUUCCCAGACAUUACUCACCCGUCCG
This 252-nucleotide ribosomal RNA is filed under the name uncultured bacterium. RNAcentral's name for it is "partial 16S ribosomal RNA". The record is from RNAcentral.